GAGAAGUUGGCUCAGUGGUAGAGUGCUUGCCUUGCAUGCAUGAGGUACUGGGUUCGAUUCCUCA
RNAcentral lists this transfer RNA (64 nucleotides) under Dipodomys ordii (Ord's kangaroo rat). It matches the Rfam family "tRNA", at positions 1 to 63 of the family's 71-position model. Rfam says of the family: Transfer RNA (tRNA) molecules are approximately 80 nucleotides in length. Their secondary structure includes four short double-helical elements and three loops (D, anti-codon, and T loops). Lineage: Eukaryota; Metazoa; Chordata; Mammalia; Rodentia; Heteromyidae. The record is from Rfam by way of RNAcentral.